AGUGAACGCUGGCGGUAGGCCUAACACAUGCAAGUCGAACGGCAGCACAGUAUGAGCUUGCUCUUACGGGAGGCGCGUAGCGGACGGGUGAGGAAUACAUCGGAAUCUACUUUUUCGUGGGGGAUAACGUAGGGAAACUUACGCUAAUACCGCAUACGACCUACGGGUGAAAGCAGGGGAUCUUCGGACCUUGCGCGAUUGAAUGAGUCGAUGUCGGCUUAGCUAGUUGGCGGGGUAAAGGCCCACCAAGGCGGCGAUCCGUAGCUGGUCUGAGGGGAUGAUCAGCCACCCUAGAGCGAAGACACGGUCCAGACUCCUACGGGAGGCGGCAGUGGGGAAUAUUGGACAAUGGUCGCAAGCCUGAUCCAGCCAUACCGCGUGGGUGAAGAAGGCCUUCGGGGUGUAAAGCCCUUUUGUUGGGAAAGAAAAGCAGCAUGUUAAUACCCCGCUGUUCUGACGGUACCCAAAUAAGAAGCACCGGCUAACUUCGUG
Molecule: ribosomal RNA, 492 nt
Filed under: uncultured bacterium
Lineage: Bacteria
Description: partial 16S ribosomal RNA
Rfam family: Bacterial small subunit ribosomal RNA
Source: RNAcentral